GGAUAUCUGUGAUGUUCGCCGAGUGUUAAAUAGUGUUGACCGAACAAAUCGUCUUACCUUGGGAACUCAAACGUUACUAAGGAAAACAGGCCUUUUCUCUUGGUAGUUUGAGGUAGUAACUAGAGUUCCCACCUGCAUAUACAGCGGGUUCAACCUCACCACACUCAUUAACGGCAUCGACGGAUAUUCU
Molecule: non-coding RNA, 190 nt
Filed under: Vagococcus penaei
Lineage: Bacteria; Bacillati; Bacillota; Bacilli; Lactobacillales; Enterococcaceae
Description: 6S / SsrS RNA
Rfam family: 6S / SsrS RNA
About the family: E. coli 6S RNA was the first non coding RNA to be sequenced, but its function was unknown until recently.
Source: Rfam by way of RNAcentral